Molecule: small RNA, 122 nt
Filed under: Asticcacaulis benevestitus DSM 16100 = ATCC BAA-896
Lineage: Bacteria; Pseudomonadati; Pseudomonadota; Alphaproteobacteria; Caulobacterales; Caulobacteraceae
Description: Caulobacter sRNA CrfA
Rfam family: Caulobacter sRNA CrfA
Source: Rfam by way of RNAcentral
GAGAACGGAACUUCCCCAGUAGAGUGAAGUCAGUUCCCAGCGUUUCGGGGAGGAAACGCUCGCUUAUAACAAAUAAAAAAGCUCGCCGGGCCUUAUCCCCCCUGUGCGGGCUUUUUUUUGGU